AUACGUAUGUCGCAAGCGUUAUCCGGAAUUAUUGGGCGUAAAGCGAGUCUAGGCGGCUUGUUAAGUCAGAUGUGAAAAUGCGGGGCUCAACUCCGUAUUGCGUUUGAAACUGGCAGGCUAGAGUACUGUAGAGGUGGGCGGAACUACAAGUGUAGAGGUGAAAUUCGUAGAUAUUUGUAGGAAUGCCGAUAGUGAAGACAGCUCACUGGACAGAUACUGACGCUAAAGCUCGAAAGCGUGGGGAGCGAACAGAAUUAGAAACCCCAGUAGUCC
Molecule: ribosomal RNA, 273 nt
Filed under: uncultured bacterium
Lineage: Bacteria
Description: partial 16S ribosomal RNA
Rfam family: Bacterial small subunit ribosomal RNA
Source: RNAcentral